ACACAUCAAAAUCUCCUUUUACUUUGGGUCCUUUCAAAUCCAGGUCAACAUCAGGUAUGGAGAUCUUGGGAGCUUUGAUAUUUAUUUCAGGCAUCUUGAACUUGGGGCCCUUUAGUUUCGCAUCUGGACCUUCGAUAUUCACAUCAGGAACAUCAACGUCCACUUUGGGUCCUGAGACAUCAAUGUCAGCCUUGGGCAGGUUCACAUCCACAUCUGGGCCCUCUCCUUUGAAGCCAGGCAUGCUGAACUUGGGCAUUUUCACCUUGGGCAUCUUCAGGUGCCAAUCUGGGCCAUGAACAUCCACAUCUGGAGCACUAAUGUCAACUUUGGGCCCUUUAAUGUCAACAUCUGGCACUUUCAUUUCACCUUCUACCUC
RNAcentral lists this long non-coding RNA (376 nucleotides) under Homo sapiens (human). RNAcentral's name for it is "HSALNT0176002". Lineage: Eukaryota; Metazoa; Chordata; Mammalia; Primates; Hominidae. The record is from RNAcentral.